UACGGGGGGGGCAAGCGUUGUUCGGAAUUACUGGGCGUAAAGGGCUCGUAGGCGGCCAACUAAGUCAGACGUGAAAUCCCUCGGCUUAACCGGGGAACUGCAUCUGAUACUGGAUGGCUUGAGUUCGGGAGAGGGAUGCGGAAUUCCAGUGUAGCGGUGAAAUGCGUAGAUAUCUGGAGGAACACCGGUGGCGAAGGCGGCAUCCUGGACCGACACUGACGCUGAGGAGCGAAAGCCAGGGGAGCAAACGGG
RNAcentral lists this ribosomal RNA (252 nucleotides) under uncultured bacterium. Its description in RNAcentral is "partial 16S ribosomal RNA". It matches the Rfam family "Bacterial small subunit ribosomal RNA", at positions 524 to 776 of the family's 1533-position model. The record is from RNAcentral.